RNAcentral lists this ribosomal RNA (843 nucleotides) under uncultured bacterium. RNAcentral's name for it is "bacterial SSU rRNA". It matches the Rfam family "Bacterial small subunit ribosomal RNA", at positions 8 to 880 of the family's 1533-position model. The record is from RNAcentral.
AGAGUUUGAUCAUGGCUCAGGAUGAACGCUGGCGGCGUGCCUAACACAUGCAAGUCGAGCGAUUUACUUCGGUAAAGAGCGGCGGACGGGUGAGUAACGCGUGGGUAACCUGCCCUGUACACACGGAUAACAUACCGAAAGGUAUGCUAAUACGAGAUAAUGUGCUUUUAUCGCAUGGUAGAAGUAUCAAAGCUUUUGCGGUACAGGAUGGACCCGCGUCUGAUUAGCUAGUUGGUAAGGUAACGGCUUACCAAGGCGACGAUCAGUAGCCGACCUGAGAGGGUGAUCGGCCACAUUGGAACUGAGACACGGUCCAAACUCCUACGGGAGGCAGCAGUGGGGAAUAUUGCACAAUGGGCGAAAGCCUGAUGCAGCAACGCCGCGUGAGCGAUGAAGGCCUUCGGGUCGUAAAGCUCUGUCCUCAAGGAAGAUAAUGACGGUACUUGAGGAGGAAGCCCCGGCUAACUACGUGCCAGCAGCCGCGGUAAUACGUAGGGGGCUAGCGUUAUCCGGAAUUACUGGGCGUAAAGGGUGCGUAGGUGGUUUCUUAAGUCAGAGGUGAAAGGCUACGGCUCAACCGUAGUAAGCCUUUGAAACUGGGAAACUUGAGUGCAGGAGAGGAGAGUGGAAUUCCUAGUGUAGCGGUGAAAUGCGUAGAUAUUAGGAGGAACACCAGUUGCGAAGGCGGCUCUCUGGACUGUAACUGACACUGAGGCACGAAAGCGUGGGGAGCAAACAGGAUUAGAUACCCUGGUAGUCCACGCCGUAAACGAUGAGUACUAGCUGUCGGAGGUUACCCCCUUCGGUGGCGCAGCUAACGCAUUAAGUACUCCGCCUGGGGAG